RNAcentral lists this ribosomal RNA (912 nucleotides) under uncultured bacterium. RNAcentral's name for it is "bacterial SSU rRNA". It matches the Rfam family "Bacterial small subunit ribosomal RNA", at positions 8 to 916 of the family's 1533-position model. The record is from RNAcentral.
AGAGUUUGAUCAUGGCUCAGAUUGAACGCUGGCGGCAUGCUUUACACAUGCAAGUCGAACGGCAGCGCGGACUUCGGUCUGGCGGCGAGUGGCGAACGGGUGAGUAAUACAUCGGAACGUACCCAGAAGUGGGGGAUAACGCAGCGAAAGUUGCGCUAAUACCGCAUACGUUCUACGGAAGAAAGUGGGGGAUCUUCGGACCUCAUGCUUUUGGAGCGGCCGAUGUCUGAUUAGCUAGUUGGUAGGGUAAAGGCCUACCAAGGCGACGAUCAGUAGCUGGUCUGAGAGGACGACCAGCCACACUGGAACUGAGACACGGUCCAGACUCCUACGGGAGGCAGCAGUGGGGAAUUUUGGACAAUGGGCGCAAGCCUGAUCCAGCAAUGCCGCGUGAGUGAAGAAGGCCUUCGGGUUGUAAAGCUCUUUUGUCAGGGAAGAAACGGUUCCGGCUAAUAUCUGGAGCUAAUGACGGUACCUGAAGAAUAAGCACCGGCUAACUACGUGCCAGCAGCCGCGGUAAUACGUAGGGUGCAAGCGUUAAUCGGAAUUACUGGGCGUAAAGCGUGCGCAGGCGGUUUUGUAAGUCUGUCGUGAAAGCCCCGGGCUCAACCUGGGAAUUGCGAUGGAGACUGCAAGGCUUGAAUCUGGCAGAGGGGGGUAGAAUUCCACGUGUAGCAGUGAAAUGCGUAGAGAUGUGGAGGAACACCGAUGGCGAAGGCAGCCCCCUGGGUCAAGAUUGACGCUCAUGCACGAAAGCGUGGGGAGCAAACAGGAUUAGAUACCCUGGUAGUCCACGCCCUAAACGAUGUCUACUAGUUGUCGGGUUUUAAUUAACUUGGUAACGCAGCUAACGCGUGAAGUAGACCGCCUGGGGAGUACGGUCGCAAGAUUAAAACUCAAAGGAAUUGACGG